GAUGAAGAACGUAGCGAAAUGCGAUACGUAAUGUGAAUUGCAGAAUUCAGUGAAUCAUCGAAUCUUUGAACGCAUAUUGCGCUCUCUGGUAUUCCGGAGAGCAUGCUUGUUUGAGUAUCAGUAAACACCUCAACUUCCAUAUCUUUUUUGAAAUGGGAGCUGGACUUGAGUGAUCCCAACGCUUUUCCUCACCGAAAAGUGGCGGGUUACUUGAAAUGCAGGUGCAGCUGGACUUUUCUCUGAGCUAUAAGCAUAUCUAUUUAGUCUGCCUAAAAAACAGAUUAUUACCUUUGCUGCAGCUAACAUAAAGGAGAUUAGUUCUUGUGCUGACUGAUGCAGGAUUCACAAAGACGGCUUCGGCCGACUUUGUAAACUCGAUCUCAAAUCAAGUAAGACUACCCGCUGAACUUAAGCAUAUCAAUAAGCGGAGGA
Molecule: unclassified non-coding RNA, 432 nt
Filed under: soil metagenome
Description: partial contains 5.8S ribosomal RNA, internal transcribed spacer 2, and large subunit ribosomal RNA
Rfam family: 5.8S ribosomal RNA (bases 1-120)
Source: RNAcentral